Molecule: long non-coding RNA, 405 nt
Organism: Armigeres subalbatus
Lineage: Eukaryota; Metazoa; Arthropoda; Insecta; Diptera; Culicidae
Exons: 2
Source: RefSeq, a predicted model, not a curated record
AUUAAUGAGUAAAAAAAUAACCAUUUUUUGAUCUCAUAUAAAGCUGUCAGAAAAUGUGGAAAAUUUGACAACUUGAAAUGGGUGAAAAACCACUCAUUUUGAGAAUGUUGACCAACUUCAAAAACGUUUAUUUUCAAACCCAUAAAUGGGUGAAAAAAGUCUUUGGCAGUUUUUGUUUAACAUGAAGCUGCCAGUUGCGUAUUACGGCCUUGCGGAAAUUACAAGGUUUAUUGUGACCUGAUUCUACGCGUGAACCAUGGAGCAACUUGAACGAUCGGAACCGAUGGACAAAACCAAGAUGCGGGCUGCCUAGAUUAAAGAAAAAAAUAUCAAUGUAUCAGCUCUAACUUUAAUAGAAUGUAAAAUUCAUUAAUAUAUUAAAUAAACAAAUACAUGUGAGCAUUU